This 73-nucleotide transfer RNA is filed under the name bacterium. RNAcentral describes it as "tRNA-Trp". It matches the Rfam family "tRNA". Rfam says of the family: Transfer RNA (tRNA) molecules are approximately 80 nucleotides in length. Their secondary structure includes four short double-helical elements and three loops (D, anti-codon, and T loops). The record is from RNAcentral. RNAcentral also lists the same sequence under 1 other name.
AGGCCUGUAGCUCAAGUGGAAGAGCAUCGGUCUCCAAAACCGAGGGCUGGGGGUUCGAGUCCCUCCGGGCCUG